Molecule: ribosomal RNA, 253 nt
Filed under: uncultured bacterium
Lineage: Bacteria
Description: partial 16S ribosomal RNA
Rfam family: Bacterial small subunit ribosomal RNA
Source: RNAcentral
GACAGAGGUGCCGAGCGUUAGGCGGAAUCACUGGGCUUAAAGCGCACGUAGGCGGACUCGCAGGUCAAUUGUGAAAUACCCGGGCUCAACCUGGGAACUGCAGUUGAAACCGCUUGUCUUGAAUACCUGAGAGGGUGGGGGAAUACCUGGUGGAGAAGUGAAAUUCGUAGAGAUCAGGUGGAACACCGGAGGCGAAGGCGCCUGCCUGGCAGUGUAUUGACGCUGAGGUGCGAAAGUGCGGGGAGCAAACAGG